This 464-nucleotide ribosomal RNA is filed under the name Vreelandella stevensii. Its description in RNAcentral is "partial 16S ribosomal RNA". It matches the Rfam family "Bacterial small subunit ribosomal RNA", at positions 338 to 795 of the family's 1533-position model. Lineage: Bacteria; Pseudomonadati; Pseudomonadota; Gammaproteobacteria; Oceanospirillales; Halomonadaceae. The record is from RNAcentral.
CCUACGGGUGGCUGCAGUGGGGAAUAUUGGACAAUGGGCGAAAGCCUGAUCCAGCCAUGCCGCGUGUGUGAAGAAGGCCUUCGGGUUGUAAAGCACUUUCAGUGGGGAAGAAAGCCUUGGGGCUAAUACCCUCGAGGAAGGACAUCACCCACAGAAGAAGCACCGGCUAACUCCGUGCCAGCAGCCGCGGUAAUACGGAGGGUGCGAGCGUUAAUCGGAAUUACUGGGCGUAAAGCGCGCGUAGGCGGUCUGAUAAGCCGGUUGUGAAAGCCCCGGGCUCAACCUGGGAACGGCAUCCGGAACUGUCAGGCUAGAGUGCAGGAGAGGAAGGUAGAAUUCCCGGUGUAGCGGUGAAAUGCGGAGAGAUCGGGAGGAAUACCAGUGGCGAAGGCGGCCUUCUGGACUGACACUGACGCUGAGGUGCGAAAGCGUGGGUAGCAAACAGGAUUAGAUACCUUGUAGUC